This 492-nucleotide ribosomal RNA is filed under the name uncultured bacterium. Its description in RNAcentral is "partial 16S ribosomal RNA". It matches the Rfam family "Bacterial small subunit ribosomal RNA", at positions 30 to 507 of the family's 1533-position model. The record is from RNAcentral.
AGUGAACGCUGGCGGUAGGCCUAACACAUGCAAGUCGAACGGCAGCACAGUAAGAGCUUGCUCUUACGGGUGGCGAGUGGCGGACGGGUGAGGAAUACAUCGGAAUCUACUUUUUCGUGGGGGAUAACGGAGGGAAACUUACGCUAAUACCGCAUACGACCUACGGGUGAAAGCAGGGGAUCUUCGGACCUUGCGCGAUUGAAGGGGCCGAUGUCGGAUUAGCUAGUUGGCGGGGUAAAGGCCCACCAAGGCGACGAUCCGUAGCUGGACUGAGAGAAUGGUAGGCCGCCUUGGAGGUGAGACACGGUCCAGGGGCCUGAGAGAGGGAGCAGAGGGGAAUGGUGGGCAAUGGUGGGAAACAUGGUCCAGUGGUCCCGAGUGUGUGGAGACGGCCCUGGGGGUGUAAAGACGUUUUGUGGGGAGAGAAAAGCAGCAGGUUAAGACGAAGCGGUAGUGACGGUACCUAAAGAAGAAGCACCGGCUAACUACGUG